UCUGGUGUCAGCCGCCGCGGUAAUACCAGCUCUCCGAGUGGUGGGGAUGUUUAUUGGGCUUAAAGCGUCCGUAGCUGGCCUUUCAAGUCUCUCGUUAAAUCCAGCGAUUCAAUCGUUGGACUGCGGGAGAUACUGUUAGGCUAGGGGGCGGGAGAAGCCGACGGUAUUUUCGGGGUAGGGGUAAAAUCCUAUAAUCCCGGGAAGACCACCAGUGGCGAAGGCGGUCGGCUAGCACGCGCUCGACGGUGAGGGACGAAAGCUGGGGGAGCGAACCGGAUUAGAUACCCGGGUAGUCCCAGCUGUAAACGAUGCGGGCUAGGUGUUGGAGCGGCUACGAGCCGCUUCAGUGCCGCAGGGAAGCCAUUAA
RNAcentral lists this ribosomal RNA (367 nucleotides) under uncultured archaeon. Its description in RNAcentral is "bacterial SSU rRNA". It matches the Rfam family "Archaeal small subunit ribosomal RNA", at positions 451 to 818 of the family's 1478-position model. The record is from RNAcentral.